Leucoraja erinaceus (little skate) is the source of this 1877-nucleotide long non-coding RNA. RefSeq lists it as uncharacterized. The record is from RefSeq and is a predicted model, not a curated record. Lineage: Eukaryota; Metazoa; Chordata; Chondrichthyes; Rajiformes; Rajidae. The transcript is spliced from 3 exons.
GGCAACGGGCCGGGGCAGUGACGUUAUUUCCGGGCUAAUGCCCCUCUCUCACCCGCUUUGCGCGGUCUCUCUGUCUGCGGGGCAACGGGCGGCCGGGGACGUAACGUCAUUUCCGGGAUGAGGCCCCAGCGCCGCGCGGCCUCUCUCUCUCUGUCUCCGGGGCAACGCACGGGCGGGAUGAGCCGUGAGUGACUUGCGGAGACCGCUUGCCGAACUCUUCCCGACUGGGCAAUGAUUUUCCAGUUUCGCUGUAGCUUCAGCAGGGAAAGAGAUCUACUUCUAGCCGGUGGGUGUGGGAGUCAACUCUCACAGUAUGUAAAAUACAGGCUACAGUCUCUCUUUCUCCAUACACAGGUAAUGUUCAAACAGAUAUAUUUAUACUCUAAUAAUCAGAGCCAUAAUGUAACACAAUACCCCAGAGUCCACCAAACCAACUGAAUGGCCAGCAGCUCCCAUUUCCUUCAUUGUACCCAUGCAUGUCACUGACAACCAUGCGGGUCUUUUCAAUUUCUUGGGAAAUAUUGGUAGCAAGGUCAGUGAUAUUAGUGGAUUCAUCAGGGAUUAUAGGCGCAACACUCUCGUCUUAUUAUAGCACAAGUGCCUCCUUGUUGAUCUUUGUAGAUACAUGCAAAACCGGCAAAUUUAAAACUGGCUGUCUUUAUGCAGGGGUAUGGAGAAAAAGGCUCAACAUAGGUCAAGUUACUGUAAAGUUGUCGGUUUCUUAUAAUGACAUGAAUAAAUGAUAGAAUAAUAUUGGUGUCAGGUACUAAAGGAGCAAUAGGGAUCACUAUUUUUUAAUAGCUCUCAAGUCUUAGUUAAAACACCAUUCAUUACGUCUUCCCACUUUCGGGAUUGGCAGAAUAGGAGUAUUAUAGGACUUUGCUUUUCACUAAUACCCGUGUUGUAAUAAAAAUACUAUGACCAUAGCUAUGCCUUCUUCAGCCUCCAGGGCCAGUCAAUAUUGUUUUAAACAUGGCAAGGCAGCACCCUAUUUUAAAGUCACUUUAUAUUCAAGGCCUCAUCCCACAUGAUUCUUAUGCUUUGCCCAUAGUUCAGAGGGUACUUGGACCAGAGCCAUUGGUAACCUUGGCAGAUCCUCAGUAGGCGGCUGUCACUUUUCAUAAAUAGUGUCCCAUUCCUUUCUGACCCUUGUGAUCUGUGACAUUGGCAACUUGAAAACAUGAAUUUUUUGUUUACCCUUCACCAUUUUAUCAUUUUUCCUAUUUCUUUCACUGUUGCUGGAGGUCUAGUAGCUCCAGUUAAGUGUGACUCAGAGGUGGCACCCAUCUCAAAUCGAUCCAUUUGGUUUUCAGAGAGGUGGACCAUUAUUCCUAAUCCCGGGACCUCAAAGAACAAAUAAGUGGUCACUGUUAAUGGUUCAAGUUUAUUCAACCAGGGGGAGACUUGUUCCUAGUAUCCGGGAUCAGGGAGGCACGUAUAUUAUUCCAUGCAAUAUGUUUGCGUAGGUUAAUUGCAGGUUUAAACAAGAUACUGUAAAUACUGGUCAUUUAAAAAAUGUUUUGUAUGGCUUCCAGUCUUGUAAGAGGACGUCCAAGUUCAUACUUCCUUUCUCGAGUUUUCAAUCCUUUUGCAAUAGGUUAGGUGUAUCCAAUGAGGAUUAUUUUCCACCUUCACUGCUGCAGGUGUAGUCCGUAGUUGUUGCAAGGGCUCCGUCCACCGUUCUCCCAAUUUCUUCCCAUCCCAAUUUCUUAUCAGUUCGUGAUCUCCUGGUUGUAAGGAUUCGCUGUUAUGGUUAGUUGAUAGUGGUUUCUGUGGUUCAUUAGUUUCAGUAAGACGGACAAGGUUCAGUUAAUUGCUGUGCAUAUGUAAUUAAUUCAUCACUAAGGUCAUGUCCAGUCUCAGUCAAGACGUUACUU